Molecule: transfer-messenger RNA, 82 nt
Filed under: Sphingobium sp. SYK-6
Lineage: Bacteria; Pseudomonadati; Pseudomonadota; Alphaproteobacteria; Sphingomonadales; Sphingobiaceae
Description: transfer-messenger RNA Sphin_sp_SYK6
Rfam family: Alphaproteobacteria transfer-messenger RNA
About the family: Bacterial tmRNA, also known as 10Sa RNA or SsrA, is named for its dual tRNA and mRNA-like properties. Its role is to liberate the mRNA from a stalled ribosome. To accomplish this part of the tmRNA is used as a reading frame that ends in a translation stop signal.
Source: RNAcentral
GCCGGUUCAACCGGCUAUGGCGAUAAAUUGUAGCGUGCAAUAGACGCAGCGGACCCGGGGGCGGUACCCGGCGGCUCCACCA